This 253-nucleotide ribosomal RNA is filed under the name uncultured bacterium. Its description in RNAcentral is "partial 16S ribosomal RNA". It matches the Rfam family "Bacterial small subunit ribosomal RNA", at positions 524 to 776 of the family's 1533-position model. The record is from RNAcentral.
UACAGAGGGGGCAAGCGUUGUUCGGAAUUACUGGGCGUAAAGGGCGCGUAGGCGGCCCGCUAAGUCGAACGUGAAAUCCCCGAGCUCAACUCGGGAACUGCGUCCGAUACUGGCGGGCUUGAAUCCGGGAGAGGGAUGCGGAAUUCCAGGUGUAGCGGUGAAAUGCGUAGAUAUCUGGAGGAACACCGGCGGCGAAGGCGGCAUCCUGGACCGGCAUUGACGCUGAGGCGCGAAAGCUAGGGGAGCAAACGGG